GGCACUAUGGCAUAGUGGUUAGCACUUUCGCCUCGUGGCAAGAAAUUCGUGGGUUCGAAUCUGACCUGGGGCCU
Non-coding RNA from Gymnothorax javanicus (giant moray), 74 nucleotides. NCBI's taxonomy places the organism in Eukaryota, Metazoa, Chordata, Actinopteri, Anguilliformes, Muraenidae. The record is from the annotation of a GenBank genome assembly.